CCUACGGGAGGCAGCAGUGGGGAAUAUUGCACAAUGGGGGAAACCCUGAUGCAGCGACGCCGCGUGAGUGAAGAAGUAAUUCGUUAUGUAAAGCUCUAUCAGCAGGGAAGAAAAUGACGGUACCUGAGUAAGAAGCCCCGGCUAACUACGUGCCAGCAGCCGCGGUAAUAAGUAGGGGGCAAGCGUUAUCCGGAUUUACUGGGUGUAAAGGGAGCGUAGACGGCAGUGCAAGUCUGGAGUGAAAGGCGGGGGCUCAACCCCCGGACUGCUCUGGAAACUGUACGGCUGGAGUGCAGGAGAGGUAAGUGGAAUUCCUGGUGUAGCGGUGAAAUGCGUAGAUAUUAGGAGGAACACCAGUGGCGAAGGCGGCUUACCGGACUGUAACUGACGUUGAGGCUCGAAGGCGUGGGGAGCAAACAGGAUUAGAUACCCUAGUAGUC
This 440-nucleotide ribosomal RNA is filed under the name uncultured bacterium. RNAcentral describes it as "partial 16S ribosomal RNA". It matches the Rfam family "Bacterial small subunit ribosomal RNA", at positions 338 to 795 of the family's 1533-position model. The record is from RNAcentral.